RNAcentral lists this ribosomal RNA (433 nucleotides) under uncultured bacterium. Its description in RNAcentral is "partial 16S ribosomal RNA". It matches the Rfam family "Bacterial small subunit ribosomal RNA", at positions 29 to 507 of the family's 1533-position model. The record is from RNAcentral.
AACGAACGCUGGCGGCAUGCCUAACACAUGCAAGUCGAACGAGACCUUCGAGUCUAGUGGCGCACGGGUGCGUAACGCGUGGGAACCUGCCCUUAGGUUCGGAAUAACUCCCCGAAAGGGGUGCUAAUACCGGAUAAUGUCUUCGGACCAAAGAUUUAUCGCCUUUGGAUGGGCCCGCGUUGGAUUAGCUAGUUGGUAGGGUAAAAGCCUACCAAGGCGACGAUCCAUAGCUGGUCUGAGAGGAUGAUCAGCCACACUGGGACUGAGACACGGCCCAGACUCCUACGGGAGGCAGCAGUGGGGAAUAUUGGACAAUGGGCGAAAGCCUGAUCCAGCAAUGCCGCGUGAGUGAUGAAGGCCGUAGGGUUGUAAAGCUCUUUUACCCGGGAUGAUAAUGACAGUACCGGGAGAAUAAGCUCCGGCUAACUCCGUG